This 423-nucleotide ribosomal RNA is filed under the name uncultured bacterium. RNAcentral's name for it is "bacterial SSU rRNA". It matches the Rfam family "Bacterial small subunit ribosomal RNA", at positions 207 to 622 of the family's 1533-position model. The record is from RNAcentral.
AAGACCUUGCACUUUUGGAGCGGCCGAUGUCUGAUUAGCUAGUCGGUGGGGUAAUGGCCUACCAAAGCUUCGAUCAGUAGCUGGUCUGAGAGGACGGCCAGCCACACUGGGACUGAGACACGGCCCAGACUCCUACGGGAGGCAGCAGUGGGGAAUUUUGGACAAUGGGCGCAAGCCUGAUCCAGCCAUGCCGCGCGAGUGAAGAAGGCCUUCGGGUUGUAAAGCUCUUUCAGCCGGGAAGAAAAGGUUGCGACUAAUAAUCGCAAUUCAUGACGGUACCGAAAGAAGAAGCACCGGCUAACUACGUGCCAGCAGCCGCGGUAAUACGUAGGGUGCGAGCGUUAAUCGGAAUUACUGGGCGUAAAGGGUGCGCAGGCGGUUUUGUAAGUCAGAUGUGAAAUCCCCGGGCUUAACCUGGGAACU